AAAGCCAUCACAAAGAUUGUCAUGCAGGGAGGAGAUGCUGAUACCAAUGCCUCUGUUGCUGGAGCUCUUCUGGGGUGUAAGCUGGGACUCGAGGCCAUUCCUCAGACAUGGACGGAGAAUCUUAAACAUAAAGAGUGGCUCGACCAAAAAAUGGACAGGUACUUUUCAAUGAUCAAUGAGGGCAAUGUUGGGACAGAGGAAAAACCAAGUUCAUAAAGUAGAAUAUUGGAUGUUAGUGUUAGUGCGAUAUUUGGGAUCAGUGCAAUAUUGGAUAUCAGUGCAGUAUUGAACAUCAGUGCAAUAUUGGACAUCAGUGCAAUUUUGGACAUGUCUCUAUUUGUUUUUUUUUUCUUGGAGACGAAGACUGGAUUGUUCAACAAAGUACAGGUGAUCAUGUUCAUGAUUGGACUCUUAUUUCUUUAGUGUGAGAUGUGUAAUUUAAUGUAUAUUGCCAAUUUAAAGCCACGGCUAAUUUUCAUGUUUUUUAUUAUCUACUUUUUUUAUUUAUAAGCGAAAGGU
Saccostrea cuccullata (small rock oyster) is the source of this 519-nucleotide long non-coding RNA. RefSeq lists it as uncharacterized. Lineage: Eukaryota; Metazoa; Mollusca; Bivalvia; Ostreida; Ostreidae. The record is from RefSeq and is a predicted model, not a curated record. The transcript is spliced from 3 exons.